ACUAUCUGUUUAAUUUUUCUUUGUGAACCCCCCUUUCUCUCUCUUCGUUUUUCUGCUUUACUCAUACCAUGGUGCUAAUACCUCUGCCCUCCUCUUCAUGGCGAUGGUACUUCCGCCAGUCUGCCCUCUUUCCCCCUGUUUAUCUUCUUCGACAUCAGAGUAAUCGCUCACUACCACUCCUCUUCCUUUUUGGUGGUGCUUAAAGACUAAAAUAUGACACCAUCGUCACCAAGAAUCGCCCUUGCAAGGUUUCAAUUGCAGUUUCAGUUUCAUUUUUUCACUUCGUGAUAUGUAACUGUACACCCAGCUCAGGUUUCUAAGUUUUCGCACCUUGAUAAGUCUACCUCGAAGGAAUGGGUUGAAUAUUUCGGAUGCUAAUGCGAGCACAUUAGAGUCGAAGUUGGAUGGAUGAGAUCAGAAGUCCCUGGAAUGCGUGAAUGAAAAACAGGAUGUUUUCUAGAGAGAGGGGGAGGAAUAUUCAUUGAAGGUUGAUGUCAUUAGUGGGAGUAUGUGGUUCUUGGUUAAAUGUCUCUGAAAUGGAGAGAAGGGAGCCUUGAUAAUCUGUUGAGAUGUUCUAUGUUUACAAGUUUUGUGAUCUGGUAUGCUCGUCAAGAGACAUGUUGAUGGAUCACAAGCAAUCUAGGACUACAACAUAGGGUUGGAGGAUCACAGAGGGCAGAAGGUUAAACUGGAUUCCGAGUCUGAGAAAAGGUUAAAUUUGAUAGAGCAAUAAUGAUGGGUCUGCAUAUAAAAAGGGGAAACGACCAAUUAGAAAAAAAGAGUGCAAAUUAGAGGUGCUUCUAAUGGGAGAGGAGGUCUUUCUCUCUUGAUACGGAAUUCAUAGAGUGCAUUGACAACAUUCCGAUCUUUCAAUUUGAUAUGGUGUGGUGAUGCGUUAUGCUCUGUGACAUCAACUUUCUUUCAAUCUAAAGAGCGUCUUGCAAAAUCUAGAAGAGUAUUGAACAUUCUCGUGGAAAAAUGGUCUUUCGUGCAAGAGAGCUUAACAACAGUCAUAGCCUAGAUUUGUCAUUAUAUUUGAGGUUGGGGCUAUUGGAACUUUGGAAGGUGUGGCAACAUUUCACUGUGGCAAAUUCGACAAAUGUAGUGAAGCUUUGACAUCUGCCAAAGUAAGAUUCGGUAAGGUAUGGAGAAGUUGGAUUUAUAUUGUAUUCUUCAAGAUGAGCAUCAACAGGUUCUAUGUGAGACAAAUUAUUCAUCUUAUCAGGCUGUGAUCAAUAGAGUUUACAUAAAUUUCUUUGCUCUAUAUUUCUUUCCUGACUUUUGCACGGUAGAUUUUUUUGUUGAUUGUUACUGUUUUGUUUUGCUGGUUUGUUUAUUCGUUGAACCUGGCCAAUGGAACUGAUAAACAUAAAAGUGUAUUUUACCUUUACGUGGUUAUCCAUAUGGGUUGCUUUUUCCAGUAUGGUAGUUUAGUUUAGGAGGUGGAUGGACAUACUGCUAUAAUAUAUCAUAGACUUCCAUCUUGA
Spinacia oleracea (spinach) is the source of this 1487-nucleotide long non-coding RNA. RefSeq lists it as uncharacterized. NCBI's taxonomy places the organism in Eukaryota, Viridiplantae, Streptophyta, Magnoliopsida, Caryophyllales, Amaranthaceae. The transcript is spliced from 8 exons. The record is from RefSeq and is a predicted model, not a curated record.